UGGGGAAUAUUGGACAAUGGGGGGAACCCUGAUCCAGCCAUGCCGCGUGUGUGAAGAAGGCCUUAUGGUUGUAAAGCACUUUAAGCGAGGAGGAGGGUACUGGUAUUAAUACUACCAGGUACUGGACGUUACUCGCAGAAUAAGCACCGGCUAACUCUGUGCCAGCAGCCGCGGUAAUACAGAGGGUGCGAGCGUUAAUCGGAUUUACUGGGCGUAAAGCGUGCGUAGGCGGCUAAUUGAGUCGGAUGUGAAAUCCCCGAGCUUAACUUGGGAAUUGCAUUCGAUACUGGUCAGCUAGAGUAUGGGAGAGGAUGGUAGAAUUCCAGGUGUAGCGGUGAAAUGCGUAGAGAUCUGGAGGAAUACCGAUGGCGAAGGCAGCCAUCUGGCCUAAUACUGACGCUGAGGUACGAAAGCAUGGGGAGCAAACAGG
RNAcentral lists this ribosomal RNA (430 nucleotides) under Pseudomonadota bacterium. RNAcentral describes it as "Proteobacteria bacterium partial 16S ribosomal RNA". It matches the Rfam family "Bacterial small subunit ribosomal RNA", at positions 355 to 776 of the family's 1533-position model. Lineage: Bacteria; Pseudomonadati; Pseudomonadota. The record is from RNAcentral.